Molecule: RNA transcript, 3351 nt
Organism: Acinonyx jubatus (cheetah)
Lineage: Eukaryota; Metazoa; Chordata; Mammalia; Carnivora; Felidae
Gene: TSC22D4
Gene name: TSC22 domain family member 4
Exons: 6
Source: RefSeq, a predicted model, not a curated record
AGGAGCAGUCAGCAGGCCCGAGGAGGCAGGACUUCCUGGUGUGGGGGUUGUCAACAGCCCAGAAAGAGAAAGGCAGAGAGACAGAACCGAGAGGAGCCGAGAAGCGAAGAGAGACCCAGCCGUGCCACGCGGAGGAGUUUUGGGAGACCCACUCGCCCCAACCACCCAGGCGGCUCCACCUGGAGGAUCGGGGGCGGGGGGCGGGAGGGGGGGGCAGAGCCGCCUCUUCCCGCACCGGUCUGGAGACCCUUGGGGCUUCAGAGGCCGCGCCUGGGUUCCACCAAGGAGGCGGGGGAUCCUUCUUUUCCGGAGAGCAAACUUUUUACCGAGAUGCCUUGUGGGGCAAAGUGCGGUCCCCGAAGAGAACUGGACAGCCUCUGAUUCCCGCCGGCGCCCCCCGCGCUGCUGGGGCCAAGAGGCCCCAGGGGAAGGACAACCCGACAUCUUAGGCGGCCGGGACCCCCGGCCCAGCUCGGUGGCCGAGGCCGAGAGUUUGCAAACUCAGCUCUGGAGUUGGGCAGCGCCAGCGGCAGGAAAAACCUGCCCCUGCCCCCACCUCCUGCCGCCUCCCCUGCCCUGUGCUCCCUUCACCAACCCAGCACCCCCAGUUCCUGCAGGGCCCUCCGGCCAUGUCGGACCCAGAUGUCCCCAGGGGCCCUGAUGCCCCCGCCAUGUGGCCCCCCUGUUCCAGGGGUGCCUGAGCCCCUUCGAGGAGCCCCAGCUGCACCCCCGCCCACCUUGGCCGAGUCCUAGCCCCAGGGACCAUGAGUGGGGGCAAGAAGAAGAGUAGUUUCCAAAUCACCAGCGUCACCACGGACUAUGAGGGCCCAGGGAGCCCAGGGGGUUCUGAGCCCCCUGCCUUGCCCACCCCCACUGGGCCCCCACCCCGCCUGCCUAAUGGGGAGCCCAACCCCGAGCAGGGGGGCAAGAGCACCCCCCGGAAUGGCUCCCCACCGCCUGGGGCCCCUGCCUCCCGUUUCCGGGUGGUAAAGCUGCCCCACGGCCUGGGAGAGCCUUACCGCCGAGGCCGUUGGACGUGUGUGGAUGUUUACGAGAGAGACCUGGAGCCCCCAGGCUUUGGCCGGCUCCUGGAGGGAAUUCGAGGGGCCUCAGGAGGCACUGGGGGCAGAUCUCUGGAUUCCAGGUUGGAGCUGGCCAGCUUGGGCCUGGGUUCCCCAACUCCACAGCCAGGCCUGUCUCAGGGCCCCACCUCCUGGCUCCGUCCGCCCCCCACCUCCCCUGGACCUCAGGCCCGCUCCUUAACCGGGGGGCUGGGCCAGCUGGCAAUGCCUGGCAAGGCCAAGGUGGAGACACCCCCACUGUCAGCCUCCCCACCCCAGCAGCGCCCCCCAGAGCCCCGGACUGGGGAUAGCGCGGGCCCAUCCCGGGCUGCCACGCCCCUGCCAUCCCUGAGGGUGGAAGCGGAGGCUGGAGGCUCAGCAACAGGGACCCCUCCCCUGUCCCGGUCAAAGGAUGGAGCCCUGCGGCUGAGGAUGGAGUUGGUCGCUCCAGAGGAGAUGGGGCAGGUGCCCCCACUCGACUCUCGCCCCGGCUCCCCAGCCCUUUACUUGUUCCCCGAUGCCAGUCUGGUUCACAAGUCUCCAGACCCCUUUGGAGCAGCAGCAGCCCAGAGCCUCAGCCUGGCCCGCUCCAUGCUGGCCAUCAGUGGCCACCUGGACAGCGAUGAUGAUAGGGAAGCGAGUUGGAACCGACCAUCAGGAGAAAGGGCUUGCAACCGGAGCACAGGAGUGCAGGAUGCCACAUGUUGAGAUCACCCACUCUGAGGGGGGCAAAGCUUGAGGGCUGGAGGACAGGAUCAUGGGUGAUCCUGCAGCACAAGGGGGGGCGGGCCUGGGUGUAGAGGUGGCCCCAGGGCUGAGGUGGCUGAGGGAGAGGUUGGUCAGGUGCGGGUCAUGAGCUAGGGCAUGAAGCAGGAGGCUGAGACCCAAGUGGUGACAAGAGGGAGACUUAGGGGAUAGGGCGAGGCGGAAAGACUUGUGCAGACUCUUGGCCUCCCUUGGCCUCAGAGGGGCAAGACUUGCUUGAGGGAUCCUGAGGCCGGCCCUGGAACCGUUCGGCCAGGCCUGAGUCGACCUCUGGUGGCCGCUUAACAAACUGCAGCCAGGUCUGCUCUCCCCUAUCAUUGGCUCCCAAGGGCCUUCAAAACCCUUGCUCCAAUUCUCCAUGUCCCAUCUCCAGCCUCACUUUCCCACCUCCCCUCAAGUCUUUGUUCCCUCCAAGACCCCAGACCCGAGACCCCGGUUCCAGAUCCAUAGGCUGUGCUUGUUUAUCAGGGCUCUGUUUUCAUUGCUUUGGUAACCUUUCCAUUCUUCUCCCUCAGAGACCUUCUGGCCAGGCCCCAGGGUCACCCAUGAUGUGGGCUUUGUGUCUGGGGCAGGGGGUGCUUACAAGUCCAAGGAAGAUGACAAGUUAAUCCGAAACACCACACCACCCACCCCCAUCCCAGCAGAGUGGAGCUGAGGGCUUGAGGGAGACCAGUGUUAGUUCAGAGGGGAUGGGAUGGGUGGAGAAGUGGGGACGUCUCCCUAGGCCAGGCUGUCCCUCACCCUUCACACCCCUCUCUGACCCAAGCCUCAGGCCCCAGAGUCCCUCCCCCGACCCAGCCCACCAGCUGACUUCCCUCAGCCUGCCCCCUUCCCUCUGCUCUGGGAUUGGUGCCAGGGUGAGAAGGGGACAUUGGCACUGAUCGUGUCUGGGAAUUCCCGCCCACCAUGGAGGUUGGUGGGAGGGGGUCCCCGUGUCCCUGAGGAGCCAAUAGCAGCCAGGCUUUGCCCUGGGGGGCGGUGUAUAUCUUUCAGACCAGCACCCCCUAGGCACUGUCUCCUUUCCGUCUGCCUGGCACCAGCCAGACCCCGCUCUGCCCCGGGGGGCUCUGAGCCCCCCAGGCAGUCCAUCUGAUACAGCCCUCUCCCUCUGGGGGUUGCCUAAAGCCCUUUCCCUUGGGAAUGGCCCAGCCAGGCAUCUCUGUCAAGUCCCUGGUGUCAUCGUAUGAGACCCGAGUGGUGGGGAUGGCUCCAGGGCCUCCCCGGAAAAGGGGCUGUGUCUCCUCUCCUUGCUCUCCUCGGGGAGCAUCCCCCAUCCGAGGGGCAUCUGCACCCCCGCCUCACCGGGGCCUGGGGGGGCCUGGACAGCGGCCCUCACCCCGCCGGGGGAUGGACAAAACCCUCCUCUCCCUGAUUCUCUACUGUCACAGCGGCUCCGGAAGCCUGGUUGGCAUUGACAACAAGAUCGAACAAGCCAUGGACUUGGUGAAGUCCCACCUCAUGUUUGCGGUCCGGGAAGAGGUGGAGGUGCUGAAGGAGCAGAUCCGAGACCUGGCCGAGCGGAAUG